RNAcentral lists this ribosomal RNA (305 nucleotides) under uncultured bacterium. RNAcentral describes it as "partial 16S ribosomal RNA". It matches the Rfam family "Bacterial small subunit ribosomal RNA", at positions 508 to 807 of the family's 1533-position model. The record is from RNAcentral.
ACAGCAGUAGCCGCGGUAAUACGGAGGGUGCGAGCGUUAAUCGGAAUUACUGGGCGUAAAGCGUACGCAGGCGGUUUGUUAAGUCUGUUGUGAAAUCCCCGGGCUCAACCUGGGAAUGGCAAUGGAUACUGGCAAGCUAGAGUGUGUCAGAGGAUGGUGGAAUUCCCGGUGUAGCGGUGAAAUGCGUAGAGACCGGGAGGAACAUCAGUGGCGAAGGCGGCCAUCUGGGACAACACUGACGCUGAGGCACGAAAGCGUGGGGAGCAAACAGGAUUAGAGACCCCUGUAGUCCCUGUCUCUUAUAC